UGUCGCUAUAGCUCAGCAGGAUAGAGCGACCGCCUCCUAAGCGGUAGGCCGGAGGUUCGAAUCCUCUUAGCGACGUC
Molecule: transfer RNA, 77 nt
Filed under: Lachnospiraceae bacterium
Lineage: Bacteria; Bacillati; Bacillota; Clostridia; Lachnospirales; Lachnospiraceae
Description: tRNA-Arg
Rfam family: tRNA
About the family: Transfer RNA (tRNA) molecules are approximately 80 nucleotides in length. Their secondary structure includes four short double-helical elements and three loops (D, anti-codon, and T loops). Further hydrogen bonds mediate the characteristic L-shaped molecular structure. tRNAs have two regions of fundamental functional importance: the anti-codon, which is responsible for specific mRNA codon recognition, and the 3' end, to which the tRNAs corresponding amino acid is attached (by aminoacyl-tRNA synthetases). tRNAs cope with the degeneracy of the genetic code in two manners: having more than one tRNA (with a specific anti-codon) for a particular amino acid; and 'wobble' base-pairing, i.e. permitting non-standard base-pairing at the 3rd anti-codon position.
Source: RNAcentral